AACCAUCUGCUCCAGCAAAGAAAGCAUCUCCUAAGGCUCCUCCCGCUUCCAAAUCGGCCCAGAAAAAGCCUCGUGAGCCUAAGAAGAAGGUCAAUUAACAUCGCUCACAUAUCCAUAUUAUCUGUAUUUUAUCUGUCUAAAUUACGUGUUAUGUCUCAAUUAAUACUCUACUAAUAUAGGAACACUAAAGGAAGAUCCGGAAACAAGAAAAUAAUAGAUGACCUAUAUUUUUCUAAAACGUCAAUUAUUUCGAAAUAAAGUCAGUAAUCAAGAUGACUCAUAUUUGUUACCAGAGUAGCAUAUAGUUUUUUUUUUAUAUUUACUUUUCUUUUUGACUGAUUUAAAUUUGAUUCUUUUUUUUUAGGCAUCAGGUAGCAAGUCAGCUGCAAAGAACUAAGAAGAAGGACGAGUAAUUAUAAGAGUAUGAUGAAGAAUAUAUAUAGCAUGCAGAUCUGUUACUAAUCAUGAAAUGCAUGGCUGCUGUUUAAACUUAUGAGUGAUAUAGUUAUUAAACCACUGGCUUGUACUUUCUUCUCUUUGGUUUCCUAUUAAUGGAAUAAUCUCAUACCCGUAUUUGUAUUCUUUCCCUUGCCUACUCGUACAUACUCCGUCCAUAUCAAUUUAUGUGACACACUUUCCUUA
RNAcentral lists this long non-coding RNA (642 nucleotides) under Nicotiana tabacum (common tobacco). RNAcentral's name for it is "long non-coding RNA (NTAB_LNC017938)". The record is from RNAcentral. Lineage: Eukaryota; Viridiplantae; Streptophyta; Magnoliopsida; Solanales; Solanaceae.